This 433-nucleotide ribosomal RNA is filed under the name uncultured bacterium. RNAcentral's name for it is "partial 16S ribosomal RNA". It matches the Rfam family "Bacterial small subunit ribosomal RNA", at positions 29 to 507 of the family's 1533-position model. The record is from RNAcentral.
AACGAACGCUGGCGGCAGGCCUAACACAUGCAAGUCGAGCGCGCCCUUCGGGGUGAGCGGCGGACGGGUGAGUAACGCGUGGGAACGUGCCCUUUUCUACGGAAUAGCCUCGGGAAACUGAGAGUAAUACCGUAUACGCCCUUUGGGGGAAAGAUUUAUCGGAAAAGGAUCGGCCCGCGUUGGAUUAGGUAGUUGGUGGGGUAAUGGCCUACCAAGCCGACGAUCCAUAGCUGGUUUGAGAGGAUGAUCAGCCACACUGGGACUGAGACACGGCCCAGACUCCUACGGGAGGCAGCAGUGGGGAAUCUUAGACAAUGGGGGCAACCCUGAUCUAGCCAUGACGCGUGAGUGAUGAAGGCCUUAGGGUUGUAAAGCUCUUUCAGCUGGGAAGAUAAUGACGGUACCAGCAGAAGAAGCCCCGGCUAACUCCGUG